GGAUAGAGCAUCUGACUACGGAUCAGAAGGUUGGGGAUUCAAGUUCCUCCGAGCGCA
RNAcentral lists this transfer RNA (57 nucleotides) under Acidimicrobiaceae bacterium. RNAcentral's name for it is "tRNA-Leu". It matches the Rfam family "tRNA", at positions 17 to 71 of the family's 71-position model. Rfam says of the family: Transfer RNA (tRNA) molecules are approximately 80 nucleotides in length. Their secondary structure includes four short double-helical elements and three loops (D, anti-codon, and T loops). The record is from RNAcentral. Lineage: Bacteria; Bacillati; Actinomycetota; Acidimicrobiia; Acidimicrobiales; Acidimicrobiaceae.